This is a long non-coding RNA of Nyctereutes procyonoides (raccoon dog), 1218 nucleotides long. RefSeq lists it as uncharacterized. The record is from RefSeq and is a predicted model, not a curated record. Lineage: Eukaryota; Metazoa; Chordata; Mammalia; Carnivora; Canidae. The transcript is spliced from 3 exons.
CAGCCACCAGCAGGCUUGGUGACGCUGCAAGGGGCAGUGGAGGGCGGGAGGAGGCUGACAGAGCUCAGCUACAACCCCGGAGGAGGAUUUUGGGAUCCCUCUGACCCUGUCCUGCUCUGUCACUUCUUCACUGUAAGGGCCUCCAGUUUUGUUGCAGAAGGUCACAUCCAAACUGCUGAAAGCUUCUAACGGCCAAAAAACCAUGCAAGUAGAAAUGGGACUGCAGUGGGAGAUGGGCAUUUGAGGCUGAAGACGCCAGCAUUCUAAAAUGCCGCUGAAGAUGACCAGCGUUCAUUCUGCAGGAAUCUCUCAGCAACUUUGCCGUCUCUCAAAGGUUCUACUUGUUCCUUAGGUCUCUUACUGUCAACAGGCAACUAUAUUCAUUUUAAAAGUGGACAGCAGGGGAUCCCCUGGGUGGCUCAGCGGUUUAGCUCCUGCCUUUGGCCCAGGACGCGAUCCUGGAGUCCUGGGAUCAAGUCCCACAUCGGGCUCCUGCAUGGAGCCUGCUUCUCCCUCUGCCUGCGUGUCUGCCUCUAUGUCUACCAUGAAUGAAUGAAUGAAUCUUAAAAAAAAAAAAGUGGACAGCAAUACCCUUAAUCGAUUUCUGAAACAACUAUAUGCAAACCUGUAGGGUUUGUGUAACUCUUACAUUAGUAGAUAAAGCAAGCAAUGUGAUGAUGGUGGAACACCUUAAGCACAGGAAGAAAAGUCACAGACAAAUCUAUCCUAAAGAAUUAAAUCUAUCCUAAAGAAUUAAGCACAAGCAUGUACUACUUUAAGAAUAACUGUUAUCUACGAGAUGCCUAUAAAGUGUUUACCCUUCACCAAAUAUUUUAUCCUGUUAUUUAAGCAAAAAAAGCUGUCCUAUACAUUAUGGCAGAAACUUCCAUAGAACAGGUAGAAAAUUAAAAAUUUUUAAACCAACAUAUGCUCUAUUUUGAGUUCCUAUUUAACAAAAAAAGUACACCAACAGUUUUUUUUUUUUGCCAAAAAUAAAUGUUACAACUUUACACUUCUAUUUCAUUAUUUCCUCUAUCUCCAAUUUUUCAUUUCUCAAAUAUUCAGAACUGUGUUCUGCCAAAGCCAACAUCUGUCAUUCUUGUCUGCCUAGAACCUGCAUCCCCUUCUGGCAUCAGCACACCCAUUUUCUUUGGGGAAAUUACCUUUAACCACAGCUUAUUUCAAAAAAUUUAGUUAACCAGAAGUGGGGCAUAUAUC